Long non-coding RNA from Neoarius graeffei (lesser salmon catfish), 314 nucleotides. RefSeq lists it as uncharacterized. Lineage: Eukaryota; Metazoa; Chordata; Actinopteri; Siluriformes; Ariidae. The transcript has 4 exons. The record is from RefSeq and is a predicted model, not a curated record.
UUUCUCUAGACUGCUCAGAGGUGAUCCAUGUGCCUGGGUCAGAAAGGCCAUUCAAACUGCCAGAAUAUAAAAAUGAAACAGGAAAAGCAUAUUCCAGGAUUACUUUUUCAUUUGCAUAGAAAGACACUUUAAAGGAGUGGAUGAUACGUCAGACUCUGAUUCUGAGAUUGUCAUCACAUCAAGGAGCACAGGUUUUUGAACCACAAAACCAAAGUACUCCCCAACACAAACCUGAUGAUGAAAGAUAGUAAGAUCUGAUACUGAGGAUCUGGAUCCACCUGAAACAAAUCCAGACAAGACUUCUUGCUACAGGG